UACGUAGGGGGCGAGCGUUGUUCGGAUUUACUGGGCGUAAAGAGCGCGUAGGCGGUUCGAUAAGUCAGAGGUGAAAUCCCUCGGCUCAACCGAGGACCCGCGUCCGAUACUGUCGAACUUGAGUGCAGGAGAGGAGAGCGGAAUUCCCAGUGUAGCGGUGAAAUGCGUAGAGAUUGGGAGGAACACCGGUGGCGAAGGCGGCUCUCUGGACUGUCACUGACGCUGAGGCGCGAAAGCUAGGGGAGCAAACGGG
RNAcentral lists this ribosomal RNA (253 nucleotides) under uncultured bacterium. RNAcentral's name for it is "partial 16S ribosomal RNA". It matches the Rfam family "Bacterial small subunit ribosomal RNA", at positions 524 to 776 of the family's 1533-position model. The record is from RNAcentral.